RNAcentral lists this ribosomal RNA (327 nucleotides) under Triticum aestivum (bread wheat). Its description in RNAcentral is "partial small subunit ribosomal RNA". The record is from RNAcentral. Lineage: Eukaryota; Viridiplantae; Streptophyta; Magnoliopsida; Poales; Poaceae.
AUGAAGUGCUUGUACGCCUGCGGGCGGUCGAAGCGCCGCACCACGGCCCACACCGCGCCCACGGGCGCCUCGAUCGCCUGCACCACCGCCGAGCAGCACUGCCCGGUACCCGCCGCGUGCUCGUGGUGCCGCGCCACCUCCCCCGGCACCGCCCCGCACGACGCCGCGUGCGCCGCCGCCUUCCACCCCGCGCCCACCGCGGCGACCCGAGCCCGCUGCGGCGCCGACGGCCGCGAUGCCGUGUACGGCAUUAUACACUCUCGCUGUACCUCACUGCCCCUCUCCUCGAGCCGAGCUUCCUGGCUUCUUCUUCCGAGCUUAUGGUAG